ACAGGUACGUGGGCGGGCGGAUCGUGGUGGCUGCGCUUGCGAGCACCCUGAGGUAGAUUGGGUGGUUUCAGCAGGAACGCAUCCACUGUCUGAGAGUUUAAACUUGAUUUUGUGAGGGGACGAACAGCGUGACAAUUAAAGAAGAUCUAGGAAUCAAAAGCUUCCUGAGGCCUUCACCAGAAGCAGAUGCUGGUGCCGUGCUUCUACAGCCUGCAGAACUAAGAGAAGACAUGGAGAAGAGGAGGGAGUAGUUGUGACCGUGGAGGCAGAGAAUGGAGUAAUGUGAUCAUAAAUCAAGGAAUGCUGACAGCCACUAAAGCUGGAGAAGGCCAAGGACAGAUAUUCAAUCCUCCCGUAGAAGUACAGCCCUGCUAAUGCAUUGAUUUUGGACUUCUGGCCUCAGAACUAUUUAUAUAUCAGCUUUGUAUCAGUUGAAAUAAACCACCCUGGGCAGUGGCUCACACCUGUAAUCCCAGCACUUUGGGAGGCCGAGGUCUGCAAAGCAUGGAAAUUUGUAUCUUCAUUCACUUUUGUUUUCAUGGACUCUUUUCAUGUUUGAACUUCUCAUGAUCCAAUGUGAUAAUUUAUGUGAAAUCUUUCUGCAAACUAUACAGUAUGAUAAAAAUAUAAGGUAGUUUCACUGGAAACAACAGAAGACUAGAAGCUGAUGUGACGUGGCAAUAUCAACCAGGAAUACCCAUCUCGAGUUCUGGAUAUGUGCUCUGAGAAGGUGCCCAUGUCACCGACCACACUGGAGGCCAAUGCAGAUACUGGGGGAAGGUUCCAUGGUAGCUAAGUGUGGACAAGCUAAUCACUGAAGUUCCCUGAUGCAGAGCUGAUAAUCUCUCUAGAGUUGGAUGAAAGACUGUGCUGCCUUGAAGCUCUGAGAGAUGCCAUGCCAAUUCAAGGCAGGGUCUUUAUUGUUGAAACUCUUGCGUAAUGACAUCUUUAUUCAGGUGAAAAUACAGGAUGAAUUUCAACUGUAUGAUAUUGUUUAUGUUCAUCAGACAUGUUAUUUGUCUUUACAAACAUUGGUUUCAAUAAACUGGCUGUGUGACUGAUAUUAAAUAAACAUGGAAUUUUACACAUUCAUAAUA
RNAcentral lists this non-coding RNA (1097 nucleotides) under Pan troglodytes (chimpanzee). Lineage: Eukaryota; Metazoa; Chordata; Mammalia; Primates; Hominidae. The record is from RNAcentral.